RNAcentral lists this long non-coding RNA (1002 nucleotides) under Helianthus annuus (common sunflower). RNAcentral's name for it is "hypothetical non coding rna". The record is from RNAcentral. Lineage: Eukaryota; Viridiplantae; Streptophyta; Magnoliopsida; Asterales; Asteraceae.
GCAAUGGAAAUCCCACCUGAGCCCUAUGUCUCUUACUUCUCACCAAAUCCUGCAACUCAAACCCAUCAAUAAAUUGGUUAUAUCUUGUCAGAUCAUCAUCAAGGCUUAUUACUUACUACAUUAUCAUAAGACCACUUGUAUUAUCUAUCACAACUUCUAAGGCUGUCAACUAACGUUAUGGCCGAAUUUGCUUUUAUGGCGGCAAGUGGCCUUGUGCAUUUACACUCUGUUCCAAAGUUUACUAAUGGAAGGAAAGGAAAAGAAACAAAAAGAAAGAUGGUUGCUUUAGCCUGAGGAUUUGUGUUCAUCAAAGCAAGCCAAAAAAUAAUCCCACAUGGCAUAACCAAGUCCAAACUGAUAUAUAACAUAACUCACCUCGCAUCUUUCCUCUUUGAAGAUUCUUCCAUCUUCGGUUUUACAGCAUCUUUCCUCUUUGAAGAUUCUUCCAUCUCCGGUUUUACAUGUUCUUCUAUCUUUCUUGCAGCAUCCUUCCUCUUUGAAGAUUCUUCCAUCUUCGGUUUUACAGCAAUUGCAUAUAUACAUUUUGUUAAAAUUCCUGGUACUGAAACAAGAAAGAUUAUGGCCCUUCGUAUGCAUAUAACAUACCUGAAAAUUCACACGAUGCAUUUGGAUCGAUAACUCCAGCAUUAGGUCGAACACAAUACUUUUUUGGGUUUGUGGUUUUGAUCUGCAAAAUGGGAAGCAAGCGGUUGCAGUUUGACAUUGAGAUGAAAAAUAUAAGAUGGAAAUGUUCAUCACCUUGAAAGCGACAUGGUGAUUGGUCUUAUUGAUCAUUUGAACAGAACAAGAGCUUUGUUUCUUCAGUUCAACUGGUGCGAAACAAAAAACGAGGUCAGCAGAUAUAUCAAAAUGAUCAGUUCUUCCUGUAAAUAAACUUUUACCAAAGCAUGACUGAUCAUUUAUCUUCUGUUCAGGUAUAUAAUAAUGUUUUUUUUUUUUUUUUUUUUGUAUAAAAGCAGUGUUAGUUUUCUGAAUUUCAUU